This is a long non-coding RNA of Lutra lutra (Eurasian river otter), 289 nucleotides long. RefSeq lists it as uncharacterized. The transcript has 2 exons. NCBI's taxonomy places the organism in Eukaryota, Metazoa, Chordata, Mammalia, Carnivora, Mustelidae. The record is from RefSeq and is a predicted model, not a curated record.
CAACACUCCUUUCCUCUGCUAAUGGCAGCUGGUUCCAGUCUUCAGCUUCUUUGGUACUUCCAAAACGAGCUUCCAGGCGGGCGGUUGAGAAGAAAGAUGUCAAGUGGUGACUGGAAUCCGUGUCAGCCUCACUGUCUCCAGCUUUAAUGAUGUGGGUACCAUGCCCGAGAAGCUGGCGUCCUGUGUCCCACAGAUAAGUGCAGAUCUGGAAGAGGAAGUCAGAGAGCCCAGGGAAGAUCCAGGGGAAGGUGAAGCAGCUGCAGGCUGGCUGCCCGCCCACACCGAGGAG